UUCUUCCCUUACGUUUCCCCUUGUAAUCCUGCAUGUUUCAUAUCUUUAUCUGUCUCACCUUAAAAAUUAUACAUUCGUUGUCUCUAUAGUAUUUACUAGCACUGCUUUUCACUUCUGUGUGAAGCAUGCAAACUGAGCAAAUUGUGCAAAGCAAAGACUUGUGCAAAAGCAAACAGUUGGUUCAAAAAGGUUUACACUGCUCUCAGCAGGAUGAUUUCAGCGCAGUUAUUAUUUUCCUGGUUCAUUUUCUCUUUUCAGUCACUAUCUCACACAAACUAGGACACAAGAGUUUGUCUACUUCUGCUAUUUCAUCAAAUCAACUUUGCAGCUUUUUUAAAAGGGGGUGGCAGAAAUAUAUGAGAGAAUAACAAAUAACCUUUUUUUUUUUGACAGCUUGUGGGGUUUUCACAUGGCUGUACAGCAGGUCCUGACCUAGAGAGCCCUUACGGCAAUACAUCCUACCACAGAAAUUUAUCUUUUGAGAUCUCAGCCAACAUGUUUAUCUGCUUCUUCAGCACGUGCUGUUUGUCAAAUGAAAUACCGAAGAGUUUCUCUUUUCCUGGGCACUUAUCAAUAUAUUCACCAAGUGUAUUACCUGGUGAUUAAUUUCCCUGUCUUGUUGGAGACCUUCCAUUUUAAGACGGUAAUUUUGCAAGGGGCACAAGUGCAAUGCUGUUCCAUAAUUAUGUGUGAAAUUGUGGAGUACACCUGUGCCCAUGGAUGUGGAUUGAAAGAAGGACCUUUUUCCUUCUUAGCACCCACUUACCAGGAGGUUUGAGGGUCUGAAUCCUCUAGGAAGUGCUGCAAUGUGGUUCACAAGCUGUAUCUUUGAGGCUCUUCUCAUUAAAGAACCAUCCCAUGAGCUAUUGUCUACUUCAACCAGAAAGCAGAGUCUGACCUCUCCUACAUCCCAGGCUCCUAUCCAGGAUUUAACAGAGGGUAUUUUUUUUAGGUUUCCUAAUUUCUUCCACUGGUUGUGAACAUCUGAACAAACAUCUGCUGGUGAGGCUGGUGAAAGGGGGAAAUUGCAAGGAAGGCUGGAAGCCAGCUGUCAAUGGUUGGAGACUCCAAAACCAUGUUGCUACAGGAAGAACAGUCAGUCUUUAAAGUGUUUUAUGUUUCUGGUCCUGGCCAUUGCCAGAAGCUGUCACAGUCUGCCAAAGUGGCUGUGUCAUUCUCCUGUUGGGGCUCUGGAAUUUCCGUUUAUACUCCAGAAAGUUAUGGCAACACAUUCCUCAUACAAGAAAGGGCGCUAUCAAUUUAUAGACUACUACUAGAGUUGGAAAAACACAGUGAUUGAAAAGUGCACUGCUCCUUCAACCCCAGAAGGUAUGUACAAGAAAUCAAGAAGCAAUGCCACUCAGAGCUUUAGUUCAGGCUGAGGAUGCAGAGCAUCAGUGUUGAAGGUGACUCUGCUCCUUCUUCACACAAGGCUUUUUCACCUACUUCUUGAGAGACCAGGUGAAUAAAAAGCCACAGUUUAGCAGACGUUGUCCAGACUUAUUCCAAAAUAAAGUAGGGAUCUGGAAGUUAUAAAGUCUGCUGAAGUUAUAGUAGGAGCAAUGGUGAUAUACUGCUAUAAUUUUUAAGCUCAUGGGAAACUCAGACAUAAGGAAGACUCAAGGUGACCAUCUUCUGGUGAAAUAGAGUGCAGGCUGGGGGAAAAAAUAUGCUUGUGUAUUUCCUUAUGUAGCAGCAUCCUCUGCACGACCUUGACAAAAGCUUUGCGUCAUUUUCUGGAUCUUGAAAUACAUAUCAUUUAAUGAAAGUCACUUGGAAAGAUGAAGAGUAAUGGAAACAAGUCACUCUUGGGGAGAUUCCACUAGUCACAAGAGGAAAAAUUUUCACAGUGAGAACAAUAAGCCACUAGAAUAAUCUCUCCAGAGAGUGGUGACUUCCCAGUGUUGGAUUAUUUUAAGACUCAACUGGUCAAGAUGCUAGGCCAUCUAGUGAAGGUCAUACUUUGCCUAGAAAGGUUGGACCAGGUGAUCCCUGAGGUCCUUUCCAAACUGGGAUACUAGGAUUUUAUGAAAGGCUUCACUAAUUCAGCUGAAAAUAAUGGCUGCACUCUAUUUUCACUUCACUUUCAUUAUCAGUAUAGUUAAGUGUUGUAAAAGGUCAAAGAUUCAGUCCUUUAUUCAACUCCCAAAUGAUGUAUUUUCUGCCACUCCAAAAUGAACUAUCAUUUCAAUUCAACUUGCAAUAAUUUUUGUUCUGAAAACGCUGGGGACCAAACAAAAACCUGAAAAAACAAAGUAUCAAUAGAGUUUUAUGGUUGUGUUUCCAUUCUUCAAAAUAUUUGUUAUAUUUUAGCUGUUCCCCAUGAAGACCAGAUAGAGGAUCUUGUAGUGUCAUGUGCUCUUAUACUAGUCAAUGUCUGUAUGUUGUAUCAUAACUUCCUUCCCUUCAGACCAUGACCUGAGUAGAAAUAAUGAGGAAAGUCCUUAGGACAGCCUCGGGAGCUAAACGUAGAUGUACCAAAACAGUUUCAGAAGGCAGAGGAGGUGAUAGAUCAGGACUGACUAGCAAACAACAGGAAAGGAUGGAGCUGUAUGAAACUUGACCACACGUCAAAGCUUCCCCAUGGGCAGAGGAGUUUGCGUACAUUGUAACUGUUCUGCGCAGAAAGUGAUGGGCUUAUGUGUAUUAAUAGAUUUAAAAAGGUCUUGCUGGAAAAAAACACAUACUUGUGAAAUACAAAUGUAACCUCAACACAACGAUACUGAUCUUGAUGGCCUUCUGGGCCUCUUUCCAUCUGCUGCAUUUCUGCCUCCUAAAUCAGUUUCCCAAGAACACAGUAAAAAAACCCUUUCUCCUUCUCUAAAACUAUCCCUGUCAUGGCUAAGCGAAAAUCUUGCUGUUUGUAUUAAGAUUCCUCAAUGUACUAUGAAACAAGAGGUAUAGUUUCUUUUCUGGACGGGAUCCUUGCUUGCAUUGUCUAAAUGCUUGCCCCCAGAUAACCUCUUGACAGCUGGUUAGCAACAGUUUUAUUAAUAGGACUUAUUUCAGGCUUAGUUAUGUCUGAUUUAUCAUGCGCAGGGUUAUGUCCUUGAUUGAGAUACUAUGGCUUUAUAAAAAAUUCACUGAGAUAUGAAGCUGUGAAUGACCUUAACAGCACCAGUGGGUGCAUGUAUCCCUCCUGGUGUCUCUGGAAAAAAAACAGCUGAAUGUCAUGGUUCAGGCAAAGAGGACAGUAGCAUUAGGGCUACAGCUGAUACCACCAGUGGCCAGGUGAUGAUCCCCUCAAGCCAAGAUUGCUAAAAGACCAAGAAAGCUGGCAUCAUACUUCCAGUUUGUUAUAGAAAAAUGCUUAUUCAGAUGUCUGGUGUCUUUAAAGAACACGUGACAUGGCCCACACUAGGGCAGGACACAAGUGGAAAGAUAUUAGCAGUGAGCAUCAUCAAACACUACUACUGUGAGCCGUGGUGCUGUGGAUGCUUGGCACUCAUAGCAGUGCCUUUGCUUUAAAACCUCAGUUGCCAGCAGGAAAAAUGCCAGGGGAAAAUCAAUUGUUCUGAAGUACCAGUGUAUUUAAAACAAACAAACAAGCAAGCAAACAAACAAACAAAUAAACAAAACCACAAGUCUGCUUCGGAGGAACUGGAGAAUGUAAAGCCAUAUAGGGGAAAGUAAAUUCACUUUAAGACUGUGAAUAGGUUUUGCAGCCUCCAGCUCUGGAUGAUGAUGGCUGCUUUGUUGACCAGGCUCAGUGAAGUGUGGGGUGAUGCUGGUGUGUAGCACUGUAAGUGCCUGGUGCAGGAGUGGGCAUCAGACAUACCCCUGGAGGCAUUCACUCCCUUGGAUGCCUGUUGCAUUAAAGCAGCAGACAGAGGUGCCUCAAAGCAUGGAUAUGGGUCACUGUGGGUACAAUGCACUGAGACUCAUUUGCCCACUGUUUGGUUUAGGCUGAACCUAACCUUACUGCUUGUCUUCUGAAUCCCUCCUGUCUGGGGUCUCCAGAACAGUUCUCAUGGACACCUCAACCCCCUUGCUCUUGGUACACAGAGAUGACUCUGGUUUUGUAUGCUCACACCACUCUGAGGGAGAUGGGAGGGAAAAUAAAA
This is a long non-coding RNA of Pezoporus occidentalis (night parrot), 4064 nucleotides long. RefSeq lists it as uncharacterized. The transcript is spliced from 2 exons. The record is from RefSeq and is a predicted model, not a curated record. NCBI's taxonomy places the organism in Eukaryota, Metazoa, Chordata, Aves, Psittaciformes, Psittacidae.